This is a non-coding RNA of Paramuricea clavata, 1276 nucleotides long. The record is from the annotation of a GenBank genome assembly. NCBI's taxonomy places the organism in Eukaryota, Metazoa, Cnidaria, Anthozoa, Malacalcyonacea, Plexauridae.
UAUUUUUAAUUUCAGCACUUUUUCACAUGAGAAGACAGGACCCCAGGCGAUCUGGGCGGGGGCAGACUGCAGAGGAAUGGCGAAAGCAAGAAAUGGAAGGCGUAGUAAAUGCUCAAAACUGCCCUGGAUUGGCCCCUCUGGGUAUGGCAAAUUCGUGCGUUCUCAAACAUAAUUUUUGGCAACUUAACAGCGAUUUUAAACCGUUUCAGGUAAAAUGAACUCAGUUCAAGUAAAGACUAACUAUUUAUAUUUAUAUAAUAACGUUAAGACAUCAAGCCCUUUCAUUCGCCGAGAACCAUGAUCUAUUAGAUCACAGACGCAUGGAAUUACGGCACAAUUAAGGUAGCCAAUAGCAUUCUCCUUAUUUGUAUAUAUCAUGUACGCGUGAUAUUUGUAAAAUUUCGACUUUUUCAAAUUUCUAAAUGUUUGGGUGGAUAAAAAGUAAGCUAUUUACCUCUUUAAUUCAGAGGUUUUCUUUUUAUUAUAUAAAACAAAUAAAUAAAAUUUUGCCGUUGUUUGUUCAGUUAUAAAUACACAGUAUGACAUCAUAAUGUGGGAAGAACAAAAAAGUGACCCACUCGCCCAGCGGCUUGUGCCACUUUUUUGUUCUUCCACAUUAUGACGUCAUACUGUGUAGCUACUAGAAAUACAUGCAUGAACCCCUCGCCCGCUCGCAAAACCACUAUAUUUUCCAAACAUGAAGUAUUUGAAGUGGUUGCCAUAGUAACACGAUAAUUUUAUUCUUUUAUAUUUUUAAAACUGGAAGAAAAAAACCCCCCAAAAUAUCACUUUUAAUUACAAAAUAUAUAAAUUUCCCAAGUCUUUUAUCGAUAAACUUUGACUUUCCGAGUUUGAAAUAAAAUGAUUUCAAAUUAUGCGAUUUUUGCAUGAAAAUAAUUUUGCUUUCAGUUUUCCUGCAAUGAUAACCAUAAUUUAAGAAGUAACAACUUAAUGCUGAGGAUGGCUAAACCAAAAACUAGUGAAAUGAAAAAGUCGUUCAGUUAUGCCGCCGCCAACAUCUGGAACUUACAGAGUAUUUCAGAAAGAAAGAAAUUAACUUGAUUCAAUGAUUUGAUAUAUAGUGGGUUACGCGUAGCGUAUUAAAUGUAUUUGACGUGUAAUUAUGUAUAUUCUCCUGUAUUGUAUUGUAUUGUAUUGAUAUUAUUGUAAUUUUAGCGUAAUCACACGGCCUUUUGAAAAGCAGCAUUUCAUUUUUUUAAUUUAUUAUUACAUGUCUACUUAUAUAAAUUAUAUGCACGUAUAUAAAGUUUUUAAU